Molecule: ribosomal RNA, 497 nt
Filed under: uncultured bacterium
Lineage: Bacteria
Description: partial 16S ribosomal RNA
Rfam family: Bacterial small subunit ribosomal RNA
Source: RNAcentral
GAUGAACGCUGGCGGCGUGCCUAAUACAUGCAAGUCGAGCGAACAGAUAAGGAGCUUGCUCCUUUGACGUUAGCGGCGGACGGGUGAGUAACACGUGGAUAACCUACCUAUAAGACUGGGAUAACUUCGGGAAACCGGAGCUAAUACCGGAUAACAUAUUGAACCGCAUGGUUCAAUAGUGAAAGGCGGCUUUGCUGUCACUUAUAGAUGGAUCCGCGCCGUAUUAGCUAGUUGGUAAGGUAACGGCUUACCAAGGCAACGAUACGUAGCCGACCUGAGAGGGUGAUAGGCCACACGGGAACUGAGACACGGUCCAGACUCCUACGGGAGGCAGCAGUAGGGAAUCUUCCGCAAUGGGCGAAAGCCUGACGGAGCAACGCCGCGUGAGUGAUGAAGGUCUUCGGAUCGUAAAACUCUGUUAUCAGGGAAGAACAAAUGUGUAAGUAACUGUGCACAUCUUGACGGUACCUGAUCAGAAAGCCACGGCUAACUACGUG